RNAcentral lists this ribosomal RNA (18 nucleotides) under uncultured Symbiodinium. RNAcentral's name for it is "partial 28S ribosomal RNA". The record is from RNAcentral. Lineage: Eukaryota; Dinophyceae; Suessiales; Symbiodiniaceae.
UAGCAAGAAGUCAGACAA